GGUGAGAUGUCUGAGAGGCUGAAAGAACAUGUUUGGAAAACAUGUAUAUGGUAAAACGUAUCAAGGGUUCGAAUCCCUUUCUCGCCA
RNAcentral lists this transfer RNA (87 nucleotides) under Buchnera aphidicola (Cinara tujafilina). RNAcentral describes it as "tRNA-Ser (GGA) (tRNA-Ser-GGA-1-1)". It matches the Rfam family "tRNA". Rfam says of the family: Transfer RNA (tRNA) molecules are approximately 80 nucleotides in length. Their secondary structure includes four short double-helical elements and three loops (D, anti-codon, and T loops). The record is from Rfam by way of RNAcentral. Lineage: Bacteria; Pseudomonadati; Pseudomonadota; Gammaproteobacteria; Enterobacterales; Erwiniaceae.